Molecule: ribosomal RNA, 484 nt
Filed under: uncultured bacterium
Lineage: Bacteria
Description: partial 16S ribosomal RNA
Rfam family: Bacterial small subunit ribosomal RNA
Source: RNAcentral
AUUGAACGCUGGCGGCAUGCCUUACACAUGCAAGUCGAACGGCAGCACGGGAGCAAUCCUGGUGGCGAGUGGCGAACGGGUGAGUAAUACAUCGGAACGUGCCCAGUAGUGGGGGAUAACCCGGCGAAAGCCGGACUAAUACCGCAUACGACCUACGGGUGAAAGCGGGGGAUCGCAAGACCUCGCGCUAUCGGAGCGGCCGAUGUCAGAUUAGCUAGUUGGUGGGGUAAAGGCCUACCAAGGCGACGAUCUGUAGCUGGUCUGAGAGGACGACCAGCCACACUGGGACUGAGACACGGCCCAGACUCCUACGGGAGGCAGCAGUGGGGAAUUUUGGACAAUGGGCGCAAGCCUGAUCCAGCUAUGCCGCGUGCGGGAAGAAGGCCUUCGGGUUGUAAACCGCUUUUGUCAGGGAAGAAACGCUCCGGGCUAAUACCACGGAGUAAUGACGGUACCUGAAGAAUAAGCACCGGCUAACUACGUG